UUGAAAAACCGGUUCCCAUACGGUCACCGAAGUUAAGCAACGUCGAGCAUGAUAAGUACAGAGAUGGGAGACUCUUAGGAAUACCAUGUGCUGUAAG
Non-coding RNA from Acanthosepion pharaonis, 97 nucleotides. Lineage: Eukaryota; Metazoa; Mollusca; Cephalopoda; Sepiida; Sepiidae. The record is from the annotation of a GenBank genome assembly.